GCAGGCUGCAACCCGCCCUGCAUGAAGUCGGAAUUGCUAGUAAUCGCGGAUCAGCAUGCCGCGGUGAAUACGUUCCCGGGCCUUGUACACACCGCCCGUCACACCAUGGGAGCCGGUAAUACCCGAAGUCAGUAGUCCAACCUCGUGAGGACGCUGCCGAAGGUAGGAUUGGCGACUGGGGUGAAGUCGUAACAAGGUACC
This 201-nucleotide ribosomal RNA is filed under the name uncultured bacterium. RNAcentral describes it as "partial 16S ribosomal RNA". It matches the Rfam family "Bacterial small subunit ribosomal RNA", at positions 1300 to 1500 of the family's 1533-position model. The record is from RNAcentral.